RNAcentral lists this ribosomal RNA (646 nucleotides) under uncultured Acetobacteraceae bacterium. Its description in RNAcentral is "bacterial SSU rRNA". It matches the Rfam family "Bacterial small subunit ribosomal RNA", at positions 94 to 773 of the family's 1533-position model. The record is from RNAcentral. Lineage: Bacteria; Pseudomonadati; Pseudomonadota; Alphaproteobacteria; Acetobacterales; Acetobacteraceae.
AGUGGCGGACGGGUGAGUAUCGCGUAGGGAUUUAUCGUUGGGUGGGGGAUAACCGCGGGAAACUGCGGCUAAUACCGCAUGACGCCUGUGGGCCAAAGCAGUGAUGCGCCUGAUGAGGGGCCUGCGUUCGAUUAGCUAGUUGGUUGGGUAAUGGCUGACCAAGGCGACGAUCGAUAGCUGGUCUGAGAGGAUGAUCAGCCACACUGGGACUGAGACACGGCCCAGACUCCUACGGGAGGCAGCAGUGGGGAAUAUUGGACAAUGGGCGCAAGCCUGAUCCAGCAAUGCCGCGUGGAUGAUGAAGGUCUUCGGAUUGUAAAGUCCUUUCGGCGGGGACGAUGAUGACGGUACCCGCAGAAGAAGCCCCGGCUAACUUCGUGCCAGCAGCCGCGGUAAUACGAAGGGGGCUAGCGUUGCUCGGAAUGACUGGGCGUAAAGGGCGCGUAGGCGGAUGUCUUAGUCAGGCGUGAAAUUCCCGGGCUUAACCUGGGGGCUGCGUUUGAUACGGGGUGUCUUGAGUGGGGAAGAGGGUCGUGGAAUUCCCAGUGUAGAGGUGAAAUUCGUAGAUAUUGGGAAGAACACCGGUGGCGAAGGCGGCGACCUGGUCCUUGACUGACGCUGAGGCGCGAAAGCGUGGGGAGCAAAC